Molecule: ribosomal RNA, 497 nt
Filed under: uncultured bacterium
Lineage: Bacteria
Description: partial 16S ribosomal RNA
Rfam family: Bacterial small subunit ribosomal RNA
Source: RNAcentral
GAUGAACGCUGGCGGCGUGCCUAAUACAUGCAAGUAGAACGCUGAAGGAAGGAGCUUGCUCUUUCCGGAUGAGUUGCGAACGGGUGAGUAACGCGUGGGUAACCUGCCUGGUAGCGGGGGAUAACUAUUGGAAACGAUAGCUAAUACCGCAUAACAGUAGAUGUUGCAUGAUAUCUACUUAAAAGGUGCAAUUGCACCACUACCAGAUGGACCUGCGUUGUAUUAGCUAGUUGGUGAGGUAACGGCUCACCAAGGCGACGAUACAUAGCCGACCUGAGAGGGUGAUCGGCCACACUGGGACUGAGACACGGCCCAGACUCCUACGGGAGGAAGCAGUAGGGAAUAUUCGGCAAUGGACGGAAGUCUGACCGAGCAACGCCGCGUGAGUGAAGAAGGUUUUCGGAUCGUAAAGCUCUGUUGUAAGAGAAGAACGAGGGUGAGAGUGGAAAGUUCACACUGUGACGGUAUCUUACCAGAAAGGGACGGCUAACUACGUG